This 411-nucleotide ribosomal RNA is filed under the name uncultured bacterium. RNAcentral's name for it is "bacterial SSU rRNA". It matches the Rfam family "Bacterial small subunit ribosomal RNA", at positions 44 to 501 of the family's 1533-position model. The record is from RNAcentral.
ACGCCUAAACAUGCAAGUCGAACGAAGUAGCAAUACUUAGUGGCAGACGGGUGAGUAACAUGUAGGUAUCUGCCCUUUGGCCUGGAAUAACACGAGGAAACUUGUGCUAAUACCGGAUAAGUCUUUACGGAGAAAGCUUUAUGCACCAUUGGAUGAGCCUGCACUUGAUUAGUUUGUUGGUAGGGUAAUGGCCUACCAAGACUGUGAUCAAUAGCUGAUUUGAGAGGAUGAUCAGCCACAUUGGGACUGAGACACGGCCCAAACUCCUACGGGAGGCAGCAGUGGGGAAUCUUGCACAAUGGAGGAAACUCUGAUGCAGCGAUGCCGCGUGAGUGAAGAAGGCCCUUGGGUUGUAAAGCUCUUUCGUCGGGGAAGAAAAUGACUGUACCCGAAUAAGAAGGUCCGGCUAAC